GCCUGAGUGGCUUAGUGGGUUAAGCGUCUGACUUUGGCUCAGGUCAUGAUCUCGUUUUGUGAGUUUAAGCCCCUUAUUGGGCU
This 83-nucleotide transfer RNA is filed under the name Felis catus (domestic cat). It matches the Rfam family "tRNA". Rfam says of the family: Transfer RNA (tRNA) molecules are approximately 80 nucleotides in length. Their secondary structure includes four short double-helical elements and three loops (D, anti-codon, and T loops). Lineage: Eukaryota; Metazoa; Chordata; Mammalia; Carnivora; Felidae. The record is from Rfam by way of RNAcentral. RNAcentral also lists the same sequence under 2 other names.